UGGGGAAUAUUGCACAAUGGGCGGAAGCCUGAUGCAGCGACGCCGCGUGGGGGAUGAAGGCCUUCGGGUUGUAAACCCCUUUCGACAGGGACGAAGCUUUUGUGACGGUACCUGUAUAAGAAGCACCGGCUAACUACGUGCCAGCAGCCGCGGUAAUACGUAGGGUGCGAGCGUUGUCCGGAAUUACUGGGCGUAAAGAGCUCGUAGGUGGUUUGUCGCGUCGUCUGUGAAAUUCCGGGGCUUAACUCCGGGCGUGCAGGCGAUACGGGCUGACUUGAGUGCUGUAGGGGAGACUGGAAUUCCUGGUGUAGCGGUGAAAUGCGCAGAUAUCAGGAGGAACACCGAUGGCGAAGGCAGGUCUCUGGGCAGUAACUGACGCUGAGGAGCGAAAGCAUGGGUAGCGAACAGGAUUAGAUACCCUGGUAGUCCAUGCCGUAAACGGUGGGCGCUAGGUGUAGGGGGCUUCCACGUCUUCUGUGCCGUAGCUAACGCAUUAAGCGCCCCGCCUGGGGAGUACGGCCGCAAGGUUG
This 530-nucleotide ribosomal RNA is filed under the name uncultured bacterium. Its description in RNAcentral is "bacterial SSU rRNA". It matches the Rfam family "Bacterial small subunit ribosomal RNA", at positions 355 to 896 of the family's 1533-position model. The record is from RNAcentral.